GGGGGUGUGGCGCAAUGGUAGCGCGUCAGAUUCCAGCAAUAUCUUCAUUCAGGACUUCUCAAAAGGCCUACCGAAGAUAAUAUUGGAAAUUCCUGAAGGCUAUGCGUUCAAAUCGCAUCAUCCUCA
Non-coding RNA from Phyllosticta citrichinensis, 126 nucleotides. Lineage: Eukaryota; Fungi; Ascomycota; Dothideomycetes; Botryosphaeriales; Phyllostictaceae. The record is from the annotation of a GenBank genome assembly.